GAUGAACGCUAGCGAUAGGCUUAACACAUGCAAGUCGAGGGGCAGCACAAGGUAGCUUGCUAUCUGGGUGGCGACCGGCGCACGGGUGCGUAACGCGUAUGCAACUUGCCCUAUACAGGAGGAUAACCCGUCGAAAGACGGACUAAUACUGCGUAUGCUCACAACUUGGCAUCAAGUGGUGAGGAAAGAAAUUCGGUAUAGGAUAGGCAUGCGUCCCAUUAGCUUGUUGGUGAGGUAACGGCUCACCAAGGCAACGAUGGGUAGGGGAACUGAGAGGUUUAUCCCCCACACUGGUACUGAGACACGGACCAGACUCCUACGGGAGGCAGCAGUGAGGAAUAUUGGUCAAUGGGCGCGAGCCUGAACCAGCCAAGUCGCGUGAAGGAUGACUGUCUUAUGGAUUGUAAACUUCUUUUAUACGAGAAUAACAAGAGUCACGUGUGACUCCCUGCAUGUACCGUAUGAAUAAGCAUCGGCUAACUCCGUG
This 487-nucleotide ribosomal RNA is filed under the name uncultured bacterium. RNAcentral describes it as "partial 16S ribosomal RNA". It matches the Rfam family "Bacterial small subunit ribosomal RNA", at positions 28 to 507 of the family's 1533-position model. The record is from RNAcentral.